UCAUAGUGUUCUUCUAUAGAUGAGGUGGCC
Molecule: non-coding RNA, 30 nt
Filed under: Mus musculus (house mouse)
Lineage: Eukaryota; Metazoa; Chordata; Mammalia; Rodentia; Muridae
Source: RNAcentral